RNAcentral lists this ribosomal RNA (253 nucleotides) under uncultured bacterium. RNAcentral's name for it is "partial 16S ribosomal RNA". It matches the Rfam family "Bacterial small subunit ribosomal RNA", at positions 524 to 776 of the family's 1533-position model. The record is from RNAcentral.
UACGUAGGUGGCAAGCGUUGUCCGGAAUUAUUGGGCGUAAAGCGCGCGCAGGCGGCCUUUUAAGUCUGAUGUGAAAGCCCACGGCUCAACCGUGGAAGGUCAUUGGAAACUGAAAGGCUUGAGUACAGAAGAGGAAAGCGGAAUUCCACGUGUAGCGGUGAAAUGCGUAGAGAUGUGGAGGAACACCGAUGGCGAAGGCAGCCCCCUGGGCUAACACUGACGCUCAUGCCCGAAAGCGUGGGGAGCAAACAGG